Molecule: ribosomal RNA, 467 nt
Filed under: uncultured bacterium
Lineage: Bacteria
Description: partial 16S ribosomal RNA
Rfam family: Bacterial small subunit ribosomal RNA
Source: RNAcentral
GACGAACGCUGGCGGCGUGCUUAACACAUGCAAGUCGAACGGAAAGGCCCUGCUUUUGUGGGGUGCUCGAGUGGCGAACGGGUGAGGAACACGUGAGUAACCUGCCCUUGACUUUGGGAUAACUUCAGGAAACUGGGGCUAAUACCGGAUAGGAGCUCCUGCUGCAUGGUGGGGGUUGGAAAGUUUCGGCGGUUGGGGAUGGACUCGCGGCUUAUCAGCUUGUUGGUGGGGUAGUGGCUUACCAAGGCUUUGACGGGUAGCCGGCCUGAGAGGGUGACCGGCCACAUUGGGACUGAGAUACGGCCCAGACUCCUACGGGAGGCAGCAGUGGGGAAUAUGGCACAAUGGGCGGAAGCCUGAUGCAGCAACGCCGCGUGCGGGAUGACGGCCUUCGGGUUGUAAACCGCUUUCGCCUGUGACGAAGCGUGAGUGACGGUAAUGGGUAAAGAAGCACCGGCUAACUACGU